UCAAGAUCUAAACUAAUAUUUAAAUAAUAAAAGCAACUGCUUAAAACUUAAAGAACAUGGCGGUGUCUUAUAAACUCAGGGGAACCUGUCCCUUAAUUUGAUAAUCCACAUAUUACCCAACCAACUUUUGCUAAACCUGUAUACUGCUGUCGCCAGCAAGCUUACAUAAAAGCUUGCACACUCACACACGUCAAGUCAAAGUGCAGUUAAUAUUUUGGAGAUAGAUGGGUUACAACCUAUAAAAAGACACUUAAAUAAUAUAAAUAUUCCAUAAAGGUGGACUUGACAGUAAUGAAAUAAGUCAUAAACAUUUAUCUAAGACAUGUACACAUCGCCCGUCACUCCCAUAAAAAUG
RNAcentral lists this ribosomal RNA (355 nucleotides) under Marionina sp. G LM-2012. RNAcentral describes it as "partial 12S ribosomal RNA". Lineage: Eukaryota; Metazoa; Annelida; Clitellata; Enchytraeida; Enchytraeidae. The record is from RNAcentral.